GUGGGGAAUAUUGCACAAUGGGCGAAAGCCUGAUGCAGCAACGCCGCGUGAGGGACGACGGCCUUCGGGUUGUAAACCUCUUUUAGUAGGGAAGAAGCGAAAGUGACGGUACCUGCAGAAAAAGCACCGGCUAACUACGUGCCAGCAGCCGCGGUAAUACGUAGGGUGCAAGCGUUAUCCGGAAUUAUUGGGCGUAAAGAGCUCGUAGGCGGUCUGUCGCGUCUGCUGUGAAAACUGGAGGCUCAACCUCCAGCCUGCAGUGGGUACGGGCAGACUAGAGUGCGGUAGGGGAGAUUGGAAUUCCUGGUGUAGCGGUGGAAUGCGCAGAUAUCAGGAUGAACACCGAUGGCGAAGGCAGAUCUCUGGGCCGUAACUGACGCUGAGGAGCGAAAGCGUGGGGAGCGAACAGGAUUAGAAACCCCAGUAGUCC
RNAcentral lists this ribosomal RNA (430 nucleotides) under uncultured bacterium. RNAcentral's name for it is "partial 16S ribosomal RNA". It matches the Rfam family "Bacterial small subunit ribosomal RNA", at positions 354 to 796 of the family's 1533-position model. The record is from RNAcentral.